RNAcentral lists this transfer RNA (76 nucleotides) under Rhizobium leguminosarum bv. viciae. RNAcentral describes it as "tRNA-Phe". It matches the Rfam family "tRNA". Rfam says of the family: Transfer RNA (tRNA) molecules are approximately 80 nucleotides in length. Their secondary structure includes four short double-helical elements and three loops (D, anti-codon, and T loops). RNAcentral also lists the same sequence under 66 other names. Lineage: Bacteria; Pseudomonadati; Pseudomonadota; Alphaproteobacteria; Hyphomicrobiales; Rhizobiaceae. The record is from RNAcentral.
GCCCGGGUAGCUCAGUUGGUAGAGCAGCGGAUUGAAAAUCCGCGUGUCACUGGUUCGAUUCCGGUCCCGGGCACCA